UACGGGGGGGGCAAGCGUUGUUCGGAAUUACUGGGCGUAAAGGGCUCGUAGGUGGCCAACUAAGUCAGACGUGAAAUCCCUCGGCUCAACCGAGGAACUGCGACGGAUACUGCUUGGCUUGAGUCCCGGAGAGGGUAGCGGAAUUCCCAGUGUAGCGGUGAAAUGCGUAGAUAUUGGGAGGAACAUCGGUGGCGAAGGCGGGUCUCUGGGCCACUACUGACGCUGAGAAGCGAAAGCAUGGGGAGCGAACAGG
RNAcentral lists this ribosomal RNA (253 nucleotides) under uncultured bacterium. Its description in RNAcentral is "partial 16S ribosomal RNA". It matches the Rfam family "Bacterial small subunit ribosomal RNA", at positions 524 to 776 of the family's 1533-position model. The record is from RNAcentral.